This 253-nucleotide ribosomal RNA is filed under the name uncultured bacterium. RNAcentral describes it as "partial 16S ribosomal RNA". It matches the Rfam family "Bacterial small subunit ribosomal RNA", at positions 524 to 776 of the family's 1533-position model. The record is from RNAcentral.
UACGGGGGGAGCAAGCGUUGUUCGGAUUUACUGGGCGUAAAGCGUGCGCAGGCGGUUUUGUAAGUCAGAUGUGAAAUCCCCGGGCUUAACCUGGGAACUGCGUUUGAAACUACAAGGCUAGAGUGUGGCAGGGGGGGGUGGAAUUCCACGUGUAGCAGUGAAAUGCGUAGAGAUGUGGAGGAACACCGAUGGCGAAGGCAGCCCCCUGGGUUAACACUGACGCUCAGGCACGAAAGCGUGGGGAGCAAACAGG